Molecule: long non-coding RNA, 323 nt
Filed under: Lathyrus oleraceus (garden pea)
Lineage: Eukaryota; Viridiplantae; Streptophyta; Magnoliopsida; Fabales; Fabaceae
Description: Pisum sativum (pea) long non-coding RNA (PSAT_LNC008283)
Source: RNAcentral
UAUCAUUGCCAUCCAAGCUCGGAUGCACCUUCAUUGGAUACUUCUUUGAGGAGCAACCAAUCUAGAAGGUUUGACACUCAACCAACCAAAAAUUUAUUAAAACAAACGAAAUUUAAAACAUAAAUAAUAACAUUACUUCAAAAUUUAAAAUUGUUCAUGGGGGACAAAACACCCCAAAAGUACAUAACCAACAUCAAAAUACACAAAUCUGAAAAUACAAUAGAAAUAAAACAAAAUAUGAAAAAUAAAAUAAACUUAUCCCUUCAAGGACUCAUAACCCUCAUCAGUAUCGGCUUCAGAACCGGUAGCCUCAUCAUCAUCAU